Molecule: long non-coding RNA, 878 nt
Organism: Phragmites australis (common reed)
Lineage: Eukaryota; Viridiplantae; Streptophyta; Magnoliopsida; Poales; Poaceae
Exons: 3
Source: RefSeq, a predicted model, not a curated record
CAACCAAUUAAGUGGCUAGAUAAUUCCCUGUUGAUCUCCAAAGUUCUGCCGUGCUCUUUAUCUAGAGGUGGCCCUAACAACUGAGCUAACAAAUCCCUAAUCAAUCUCCUAACAAAUAGCUAACAGCCACAACUCAAUCUAACUCCAACUAACUCAAUCUAACUCGAACCAAUAGAAGCUAACUAACCAACAGACGCUAGCUGUGGCGCAUUUUGGCUUGUGCGUGUUCACAGCGCGUCCUCUGCUGUCGCGGGGCGGACUCCUGCUGCUUCUUCCUGCGCGCGUAAGUCUUGCCGACAAAAGCGUCUACAACAGGAGGUAUAGGGUCAACCCUGAUAAGGAGAUACUGGAGAUCCUGCACGCUGCAUCCAAGUCCAACCAGGUAGAAGUACUAGCAAAGAUUUACUGGGGUGAUGCAAGGGAGAAACUCUGUGAGGCAGUAGAUGAUCUCAAGGUCAACACCUUUGUGCUUGGUUGCAGGCCCUUGAAAGGGCCCUCCUUGGAAGUGUCAGCAGCUAUGUAGUCAACAACGCAACAUGCCCGGUUAAUGUGGUGCAUGGUCCAACCGGAUCAAGUGCCUGAUCCUAUUUGCUUAAAGGUGGGAGUUUUUAAUGGGCUUGUUUGGGUGCUCAGUUAUCCACUAGCAAGGUUAUAUCUGAAUUGAUAUUAUUUGAAAGGAUGGUGAUGUUUGGAUCUGACGAUUAGCCUUUCAGUAUUAUUACUCGAAAUCUGUUGUCGAUUUGUGAUAUUGGUGAAUUUCCCUCUGUUACCUCUUAUCGACAUUUCUGCUGUUUUUUACAAGAUACUUGUAAGCAAAUGCCUACAAACUUACUUAGUGUGUGGAUGGUGCAUUUGCUUUUAUAUAUGUGCAUGACAUG